Hipposideros armiger (great roundleaf bat) is the source of this 543-nucleotide long non-coding RNA. RefSeq lists it as uncharacterized. The transcript is spliced from 3 exons. The record is from RefSeq and is a predicted model, not a curated record. NCBI's taxonomy places the organism in Eukaryota, Metazoa, Chordata, Mammalia, Chiroptera, Hipposideridae.
UUUUCUAUCUUUUUCCACCCAAGCCCCUGGCAGGGUCUUUGCCUGAGGCAGGAUGAGUUGAUGUAGAUGCGCAAGUCCUGGCAGAACAAGGGAAGAGGAGGAUACCACCCAUGAGAGGCUAUCCGUCUCCACCAAGGCCUCCAAUCCUAGGCAAACCAGAGCACAGAGGAAGUAAUGAUGACUUCUACCUGCAGGAGUUGGAAAAGUUUCCCAGAAGAGGUCACGUUUAGGCUGGGACUAGAAGGAUAGCAAAGAGAUUUUUCAAAGGGAUCAUCAAAGUGAUGAAGGAAGCACAUUCCAGCCUUUGGGGAACACGUAAGCAAAGGAAGUGCUACGUGCAAAUACAGGACCCAUUCAGGCCAGGCCCAGCCAUUAGCUGUGGCCAUAGGGUAUUGGGGCUGACGAUCAGAGCCGAAGAGUUUGAGCAUGGCUUAUGAAGAAGGCAGGAUAACGGAGUGUCAGCCCUUACUGGUAAUAGUUCCACCCCUCUGCCCACUCACCAGUGGUUGAGCAGUGAACCUCCUUCCAUGAGCCUUGUUUGCA